Molecule: long non-coding RNA, 560 nt
Filed under: Mus spicilegus (steppe mouse)
Lineage: Eukaryota; Metazoa; Chordata; Mammalia; Rodentia; Muridae
Description: lncRNA (ENSMSIG00000015185.1)
Source: RNAcentral
GCCAAAGAAAGUGAAAGAACUCGGGAAGCAUUGGGAAGGCAACCAUCUGUGCUUGAUGUUGAGCACGGAGGGGCUCGGGUGGAAAGACACGGAGUGUCGCUUUGCCGGUUUCAGGAAACAAGCAACAGAAGCUUCUAUCCGACCCACAAGGACAUGAACGCCUACGACAACUGUGGGAAUAUUGCUCGAAGUCUUAGCCCAGAACUCAGCCCAGUGACUCGAGGUUUCUGCUUUGUGAAAUGCCGAGAGGAGAACUCAGUCAGGUGUGUUUGUAGCAUGCCAGAUUCUUGACUGUACAGCUGUAAGCUAACCAAGAAUGAAGCACAGAAGGGCCUGUUCAACUCCACUGUUGGAUGUCACAGAACUAUCUAAGAGGUCCCUGGGGAUGAAAAGCAAGCACUCAGUUGCUGAUGAGGAGAGCGUGUGGAGGGGACACCAGAGCAUCUCUAAAACACGUCGAAGAUGGAAGGAAAAUAAGAACCUUGAAGAUCCUUUUAGGAUUUCCCCAGUGAACACAGAUAUACAUCUGAUAAUUUUGAUUUUUGUCUACUGACUGCAGA